Long non-coding RNA from Tympanuchus pallidicinctus (lesser prairie-chicken), 12568 nucleotides. RefSeq lists it as uncharacterized. Lineage: Eukaryota; Metazoa; Chordata; Aves; Galliformes; Phasianidae. The transcript has 6 exons. The record is from RefSeq and is a predicted model, not a curated record.
UUUUUUCAAUAAAUUUUUUUAACAGCUUUACUAUUUACAGUUGUAAAUAGUAUUUUAUGUUGUCAAAGCAGCCCAUUAAUUGGUAUAUGCUUUGAUACAAAAAGUUGCUUUAUUAAGCAUCUAACAAGUGCCAUUGGAUUUAUUCAACCAAAAAUCUAGAUUACACCCAGUGAAUUUAAUGAACAGGACUUAGUAUGUUUUUAAGAAUGUAAUCUUUUGGUAGUACUACAGAAUAAACUGCCGUUGUGAAUGGACUAAGCUUUAUUCUUGGGCCAGACAUUCUCCUCUUUCUGAUAGAUUAAAAAAUAUAGAUAUGGGCCAGACUUCGAUACUGCAUAAGCAAAGGUCUUUUUAUUAACAACAACACUGUUGCAGUUUUCAUUUCUACUUGUAGCACUGUAAAACAUUUUAAAGCCACUGGAUACAUAGUAUUGGUGAGGUAAGAAUGAUGUUUCAGAUAGAGAUACAGUUAUAUUUCUUUCCUUAAGCUGGAUUGCAGGAGCAAAAGAAACAAGUAAAAUUUUUAAAACAUCAUAUGGUAAGUGAUUCAACACUGAAAUGAAUUAUUUCUUUGUAGAUGAAAGGGAAGUGACAGAUGAACACAGAGGUUAAAAUAAUAGGUUUUACACAUGCAUGUGUUGGAUUCUUUCACAGAAAAAAUCUAGUCUGUAUAUUUAUUUUUUAGCAAAUUAGGUAAAAAGCAAAUUAGGUACAGUAGACUUUAAAUAUUAAAACCAAUUGCUAGCAGUUUACUACACUGCAAUGCUGAAAUGGUUUGUGGACUUGUGUUCAUAUGAUAAGAUCAGUUAUGUAAAGUACAGAUCUGCCUUUUUGAAGAGUGUUGCUUGUGCAUCUUCUUUCUAAAGUGCAAUCAAUAGGCAUUUUUGACUGAUUGGGAUAAUUCUGUUGUCCAGUUUGUUAUCGUUCAGUGUAUAAAAUGUUCUGCGUGAAUCAAAGGCUUUUCAAAGCAUAGUAGACAGUAAAAAAGAUUAUGUCAAUUUGCAGAAAGUACGCAUUCUGCUGUUAGCUAUCAAAAGUGCGGACCAAUUUUGUUUUGAAGGAAUACUUGUUAAAUUUAUAAGAAUGUAAGAAGUAAUCUAAAAAAUAUCUCUGAAUAAGCAAUAAGUACUCAGAGAGAUAUCAGUAAAAUUAACGUACUUGGUAAUUCUUUUAGUUAUGGCACUGUAGGAGAUUUAGCUGUUGUGUUUUGCAGUUUUUCUGCCUCUUAACAUAGAAAGUAAACAGAUAUGAAACAAAGUGGAUUUUUUUAAUAUUCUUUAUUUUUAGAAUGUAAACAUUUAAAAGGAAAAUGAAUAAUGUUGUGUUCACUAUGGAUAUUUAAAAAGUACAAAUUUGUUAGGGAUGUUUUUUUCUUAGCAUUUGAGCUAAAGUUUUUAAAGUUUUAAUUUUUAAGGUCAAUGGGCAAAUCAAAAUUUUGAAAAAAUAUUUUUUGACUAAAUGAAUUAUUUUUGAAAGUUUGGAAAGUAUUCAUUAAUUUCUCUUGAUAAAAUGCAGAUCAAUUUGUACAAAAGCUCUACUUAUAAACAAAAAGAUUGGAAAGUUCUGAUUCCAAAAUGAUUUUUUAAAACUUUUUACUCUAUCUUCUUUCUGGUUGGGGCAAUUAGAUGGAAUAGAACAUUCUGCACUUAUUAAAACAAACAAGCAAACAAACAAACAAAACCAAAAAAUACCCGACUGUUCACUUUUCAAAGUAGGAAAUACUUGACAUUUCCAGAGUGUCAUCCAAACCUUGUUUUUAGUCCACCUUGACAAAUUUUUUACUCAGGUGUUUAUUUUUCUGGUUGUAUCUGUUAGCCUCAAGUGAACAUAUCUGUCAUACCUGUGAACCCUUUAGAGGGUAACAAAAAACCCUGAAUUUUCUAUCAAAAUAUGGUUGUUAUAGAUAUAAAAAAUUUCUGAAUGUGGAUUUCUACACUUUUUGUCAAGUAAUCUGUUGGAACUGACUAUUUCUGUUCAGUGGUGAAACACAUUUUGUACUUGCCUUUCCAUCAAUGGGGCUGGGCUUCUUGUAUCUGAGGUGCACAGGACAGAAGGAGCAGACAGUGGUGCUAUUGACAGCUGACUUCUAAUGAAAGAAAAUACAGAAAGCACAUUUACCCAGAUGAUAUUGAAUCUAUAUUGUAAGUAAGAUUCCCCAUGUCAGGUCUCAGUUUUGAUUACAUAUUAUUCUUAUCUCAUUAGUAUUAGUCCUAAGCCAUAGUGAUGUCUAAUAAGCUUCUCCUGCACACUAUGCAGUUUUAAGAACACAAGUCUAGAUAAUUAAAUUAAAUAACAGUUCAAUCAUCUAUGGUUUUAUUUAUCAUCCCGUAGACUCUUAGGACUGACAUCCUCUCCUCAGUGACUGCUUAUGCAUCGUAAGAAAUGGUUUUUAUAGCAGAAAGGUAAAGAAGACUUUUCCCUAUUAUAUGAGUAUACAAGUAAAUAGUGCAGCAAAAAUCUUUAGGUAAGAGAUUAGAUACAUAUAGAAUGGGUCCAGAGGAGGGCCAUGAAGAUAGUCAGAGGGCUGGAGCACCUCCCUUAUGAGGACAGGCUGAAAGCGUUGGGAGAAGACUCUGAGGAAACCUAAUAGCAGUCUUCCAGUACCUGAAGGGGGCCUACAGGGAAGCUGGGAAGGGACUUUAUAAGGGCAUGUAGACACAGGACAAAGCGAAAUGGCUUUAAAUAGAAAGAUGGUAAAUUUAGACUAGAUAUUAGAAAGAAAUUCUUUACUGUGAGGGUGGUGAAACACUGGAACAUGUUGCCAAAAAAGGCUGUGGAGCAUUUAGAUCCAGGCUGGAUGGGGCUUUAAGCAACCUGGUUUAGUGGGAGGUAUUCCUGCCUAUAGCAGCGGGGUUGGAACUAGAUGGUCUUGAAGGUCCCUUCCAACCCAAUUAAUCUAUAACUGCGGAAAUAAUUAUCUGGGAUAAACUGAGAGGUUUGAAGACUUCUGACAGAAGGGAAGGAGUUAGAUGUAUACGUAGGUCAUACUCGUGCUAAGCAGGGCAUUUAGAAGAACUGACCAUCUCACUGCAAUUUUAAACCACAGGCAGAUUAAAAUUUAUGGCUCAAGGGAAGAUUGAUGAAGGAGCUUAUGCAAAAAUAAUGAUGAGAAAGGGAAAGGGGAUAAACUGAGAAAGCUUAAUAUUCUUAGGCAAUUGAAGCAUGAAAAUAUCUAAUAAGUCAAGCAAGAGAAGAAAAUGAAGUAUUGCUGACUUUUGGACUUUCAACUAUUACAUAAAUAUGAGAAAGAACAAUACUUUAAAAAGAGUGGAAACACAAAGACCCAGUUCUGUCCAUCAGCAAUGUAUGGCAGUAUAUAUGAUUAUGUAUUAGAAGAAAAAUAGAAAGAAGAGUAGCAGUACAAUUUAUACUUGGUUGACGGAUGGUCAAGGUUCAAGGAAGUGCAAUAAGGAGCUUUGCAAUUUGACUCUGAUACUUUUUCAAAGUAUAUAGAUUUCCCAGGGCAAGUUAUCUCUGCUGAAUGGUAAGAGUAAUUAGCCUGGAUUCAGCACAGUUCUACUAUAAGUAUUUGAUUCUUUUGUUUGCUUCUUUAUUUUGCUUUGGAGCUUGUUCAGAGAUUUGGUGCUUUGUGAUGCUAAAUUGCACUUCAUGAUCAUGCAUACAAAGCACAAGAUUUACUUGGUUGUCUUUCUCUGCAUAUGAGCUUGCAUAAUUAUUUAUUCAGGCCGAGGUUUGUUUUCUUGUUGAGGUUGUGUUGGCUGAGGGUGCUGCAUGUUCUUUUAGUUGAGAGAGCUUUCAUUAGCCAUUACAAUGCAUUUAAGUGCAAGAACCAUUUUGAUGAAUUCAGAGAAAUGCAAAUGAAAGUUGCUCCAUAAGAAAGAAAGUUGCUCCAUAAAAACAAAUUCUUUUAUAUCACUGACUUUUAUAUCAGUGGCCUAUUACCUGAUUGCAGAAGAUAAGCUCUAUUUUACAAGGGGGUAGGUUUGCAGAACUCUAAAGUAAGUUUUGCAAUUAUGUGCUUAAGUAAACAUUGAAUUACCAUUCCAUCUCCAUUGUUGACACAGUGGUAAUACAGAUGAAUUGUAAUGCAAAAACUAUAGGGUGUUAGCCAUAUAAAUCAAAGUCAUUCCAAAAAAUGUGUUUGGUUUAACUUUAAAUAUACUUCCAAGUACCAAAAGAUAUGUAAAAUUCAGAUGGAUUUUUUCAGAACAAGCAACAUCUUCUACGUGCAUUAGCUGCUACAUCCCUUCUGUCACAUGAGACUUGUGGGUGAACAGCAGAAAUAAGAACAAUUGAAAAAAAAUGCCCUGUAUGAGUAUGGGGUUUUCAGAUUGUCCAUUUAAGUGUUCUACUUUUACAUGAAUCCAGAGGAUUUAUAUCUACCAACCAUGAGUCAAACUCCCUGCUUGUUUUCAAAAUGUUAUCGCAUGGCACAGGAGCCCAGAUGACAGUUCUUAGUGAAAUAACUGAAUUCUCACUACUUAGUUACCUGUUUCCCCUACAAAUCAGUGGAAGCUAUAGGCUGUGCAGUUAGCCUCUCUAAAUCUUCCCCAGCUACACAGUAUAGAAAGCAAUCCUUCCACUCUUGAAUUCACAUUUUAUUUGCCAAGUGGGAGAUCGUAUCUGAAGUACACAUGUUCACCUAGAAAGGAGUAGUCAUGUUCUUCCAUCUACAUAUACACACAGGGAAAGAUAGACUGCAUUUCCACUUCACUUCACUGUAUAUUGCUUCUUGAGUUACUAGGUUUCCUUGUUUGCUAGUGGAAGAAACAGACAAUUACACACUUAAAGUAACCAUCUUAAUCAAAUCUUAAUUGACAAUAAUACAAAUAAAGCAUAAGAAAAAACAGCUUUUUUUCCCCAGUCCGUCUUGAUUUCUUUGAUGUGUAGACUCUGGAGUUUUUUUGGCUUGAAAGCACCUCACCUCCUGAGCACAUUUUUGGAGAUAUAGAAAGUCCUUGAUUAUUAGAACCUAGGGUAGAAAAAUUACACUUGGAUAAGCAUGACUUUCAAGGCUUACACUUAAUGUGGUGUUUUUUCUAUAAUCCUGCAGAAUGGCAGGCUAAAAAUAGGGCAAAAGAUUUUUUUGUAUCUCAAUUCAAAGCAAGAAAUAACAGAAAUAAUGAGUUUAGUUUUAAAAUAAACCAUUCUUUUCCUGAGUUUGCAUUUUGAUUAAUUUUUAUGUUCAUAUUCACAUUUAGGUAACACUAAAUACUGGGCUGUGAAAAUGGUUAACUGUAGAUUACAGUUGUGGUGGGACACAUCCUGUGUUCUUAACAGAUAGUUUUUUGAUUGUACUUAAGCUUAAGAUUUAUACAAAUGAACCUGACAAUUCAGGCCUUAGUUCUACAGUCUCAAAUUCAGUAGGAUUUUAUUUCUUUGGCUGAAACUGACUGUUUCAUCUCAAUAUUACUUAUCUAAACACCUCAGUCAGUCCCUCUUGGUUGCCCUUAUCAGGAAAUAGUUUCUUGGAAAUACGACAGGAAUAUCUUUUUAUAGUUCUUCACUGGGAAGAGGUCCCUUUCAACCUCAGUGAUUCUGUGAUUCUAUGAAACAACAUUGUGAUCAGAGCACUCUUCUGGAAACAGGAAACAGAAUCCACUUAUUGCUAGUGAUGAAUUGUGCAAAAUAGUGUGUCCUAUUUCUGUGAGGAAAAUCCAAAUACAACAUGGGAGAAAUGUUCUUUUGCUUAUUGUAGCUUGUCAGUACAAAGCAUCCAGAGUAAGGGAGAUGAGACCAGAAGUUUCUUUUCUCUGGUAUGAGAAACAAAGGAAAUUUUUGUUUCCGUCUUCACCUUCUCUUUAUGCAUCGUAUACAGGGACUGGGUAUUGUAAAAAAGUCAAGAUUUGUAAGAUCAUCUAACAGCCAUUGUUAGAAAGACAGCUGUACCUGAAAACUUCAGACAGAUUUUCAGAUAUAGCUCUUUUCAAAUCUAAAGCAGACACCAAAUACCAGUUAAAUAGGACCAAAUGUCCUGGUUCUAACCAUGCUGUGUUAAACUUACACAGUUUAGGGGAUACUGAUGAGGAAUUCAGGUUUGUGAGAGAGAGGGGUGGUUAGUAGAGGUGGGAGAAAUUGCUAUGGAUACAAGAGACAGUUUUUCUUCCAAUUGGUGCAAUUUAGUUAGAAUUUUUUCUCCUAUACUUGCCUUAAAAGUGUCAGUAAGUGCUUUUGGAGGUCCAGCUGUGAGGCUCUGGCUUGAGGUCCUGCUUGGCUGUGUAGAACCAUUUCUGUGCUACCCCUAGGACUGUGCUGUUGUGACUGGGACUGUGUAGUGAGCAGUGUCAGAGGAUACUGCUGAGAUGGAAACAAAAAGACAGAGGCAGACAAAAAAGUGGCGAUGGUGGAGGGGGCCUGAGUACAUUUUAAGUCAUGUAAGUGCAGAAUUGAGAUCUGAGAGGUCAGCAAUGGUAUGAUUGCUGCUUGAAGAUUGUUCUUCUGGUAGGCAUCUAUUACUUUGGUUGCUCCAGUGGGCUGAAACUCUUUGAUGCUUAUAGUACUUAGUCAUUAUAUAAAACAGAUGUAUUUUAUUUUCUUGAGGGAUGCUGGAAGCCAGUCAGGAAUCAAAGUAUGCAUUUCUCAUGAAAUGUGGGGGUUAUGUCAGGUCCUUGGAACUGAGGGAGGAAUGCAUGUUUUCUAUUUUUAGGAAGUUAGUCAUGCAUUAUUGUGACAACAAACACAGUAAAACUGUGUGAAUAACUGGUUUUGUCCAUUGGCAGAUGAUCCAAACCUAAAACAAUAUUCAGAUCAACAUCUAGUGAAAAUUUAACAAGUCUCUUUGGUAAUUAUGUUACAUUUUUAUGCUAGUCACAUUUAGAAAACAUGAAAAAAGAAAGUUGGAAACAAAAGUGUGAGAUCCUGAGGUUCUGUUCAGAGAACAGGGAAGAACAGAGACUUGAAUGCCUUGGAAGUUCUCUCAUGUCAUUAGAAAGCAUUGGAGAAGGGCUGCCUCACUUUGUCAUCUCAAGCAUAUACUACCUCAUAACAAACAAGAGUGUUUCAAGCAGAAGUUAGGAAACCUCAUUGAGGCUCUUGCCUGUGGCCUGACCUGCUGCACUUUUAUAUUCUAAUCACAGCGUUUGAAUGGAUGAUAAUACCAUACUUGGAGCAUAUGUUAUAUUUAUUCCUAGUGGCUUGCUUACAAGUUUCCAGUCCUAAUGAAUGAAGUUCACAGAAGUAAUGAAUAUAAAGAAAGGAGGAAUUUAGGGAAAGAGGUUUUGAAUAUUUCUAGUUUUAUCCAGGAUGUAAAACCCGCUUUAUUUGACUCUCCCAGAAAGAAAGAAGCUUCUUGGCUUGUUCUGUAGGUGGCCAUAGUGCUACUUGCUAUAUAUUAUGGAGGAAAGCAAGAGCGACAUUUUGCUGUCAGAGCAUGUUUGAUAUAUAAUUCAUCUCUGACAAGAGAUGGCAAAGUACAUCAUAUUCUAGCAGGACUUUUUCUGUCCCCGUGGAAGAGAUAAAAAUGGUAGGCAAUUUUACGGUACACUCUUUUUGCUAUAUAAGAUCUGUAUGAAACCCUCUCCAUGAAGAACCCUUAUGCUGUUUAUACAGUUAUAGGCAUGAUACAUAAAGGGAAUGACAAUGAAUUUCAGCUCUCUAGAUCAGUUUUAAGUAUGAAUGCUUUAUAAUUUAAAAAAAAAAAAAAAAAAAAAAAGAAAAGCCAGGAAAUACUUUGGCUUAGUGCUAACUUAUACUAUCAGAAGAUGAAAUCUUCAAAAUACGUUCAGCUUUUAACAUACGAGUUGUUGACUUGAAUGAUAAAAAUCCCCUAGCAAAUGUAAUUAAACUUUAAUAAUUAAUAGGCAGUUUUAUUUUUGUAAUUUUCCAAACUAUGAUAAGAAAUGUCUAUUCUCAGAAAGUUAAGUAUAUAGAAUCUCUUUCAGUACCUGUAUUAAACUUGUAAUUCACCUCAACUGAUUAAGAAUAUUUAUGCAAGAGCAGGACAGCAGGGAAUCCGUUUAGGUAAAACACUCCAAAUAACUGUAUGCUUAAGAUUAAGCUGGUAUCUAAAUGCUUGCUACAUCCAGACCAAAGAACAUAAUGAGAUAUUUAAUGAUAAUCUUCAGACUAGAACGUGAGAAAGAAGCAUUUGAUGCAGAAUGAAAGAAAGGGGUUAUUUUUGCUUUUCUCUUUUCCCUCCUCUCCAGCAGCUCAGUUUUAUUCAGUGCAAGUCAUCUUGCAGUGCAGGCUGUUCCCUGCAGGAUUUGUGGAAUUGUGAUGCUCAUGCUCUGUAUCCUGAUUAAAAAGCAAUAGGGCCACCCAAAGUUAAAGUUAAGGUAGAAUCUGAACAGUGGAAGUUAUUCUGAAAGAACAGAAGACAAAGGAAUAGAUAAAGGAUAAAGAAGAGAUGAGUGAAAAAAAGAAUAGAAAAGAGAAAAAAAGUAUGGGUCUGUGAGAAAAGAGAAGAAAAGGGGUGCAUGUGUAUUAAUGAUUACUCUGGAAGCAAAAGGAUAGUUUGUAAAAGAUCCCAAGAGAAAAUCAUUUCUUCAAACCUUCACAGCCAGCACUUUAGUGAAAGUAAUCGAUGGAGAUUUUCUUCCCUUCUUCCCUUUCUUCCUUCCUUUCUGUGUAAUAUGAAUAAGUUAUUAAUUCUACAGCUGUUUUUAUGAGUUUCUGGGGAAUUAGAAAUGAGCACAGCUUGAAGAACAUUAUAUAUACAUGAUUGCAUGGAUCUGGCAACAAAGAGAGAAUUGUAUCUCAUGUUCAGAAUAAUAGUUUUAUGCCAUAAGAUAUAGAUAAUGAAAAGGAAUUAAGAUGAUGAUUUAAUAGCCUUUAAUCCUGGUGAUUGAAUAAGUGAGGUGAUGUCUUGCAAGGCAAGGAAUGACAACAGAAUAUGCUCGCUGUAAUUCCUGAAUGGAUGUAGACACUUCAGUCUUUGAUAGCACUUUCAUGUUUGUUUUUCCCAAGUUACUGCAUUAAAUGCUGUAAAGGCAACUAAAUAGCAAAGAGCGUUGUAACAAAAAAAAAGUAGAGUUUAUCUUGAGAGAGAUGAGAAAGAUUAUGUCUUAGAAUAUUACACUGGGUAAAUGCCCAGUAAAAAGAGGACUGUAAUCACUGACUGAGACCUCCAUUCAGUGAAAGUUAACAACAUAAUAAGAAGAAAUGCAGAUAAUUCCUGGUUUUCAUUUCUGCAACAUAGGGAUGGGUUAUUCUAGAGAGGCUGAAAUAAAAAUUCACUGGCAGAAUGACUCACUGAGGAGUAACUUUGAUGUAAAUGUCUUAUUCUGAUCGUGUCAGAGGUUUAUUAAAUAAACAAGACCCUGACAAGGAGGAGUGCCAAUGACAAAUUUUUGAUUUGUCUUUUGAAAGACAAAUCCUGUAUUUUAGUUGGAAAUAUCCACUACCAAAUGGAUCUUUUCAUUAGUUCAGUUCCCUCAGUGGAAAAUUAUGAAAAGCAGGAUAUGAGCAUGUGUAAGAUCUGUGUAUAUGUUAACUAUCUCACAUAAGACUAGCAUGGAUCCUAAUUUCUGUUUUACCACAGUAAAGGAGAAGACAGGUGUAUUCCUUCUACAUGUAACUGAAAAAUGUUCUUAGGCUACCAGUUUUGUCAUUAGAGCUCAAUUUUCCAUUUUAUCUCCACAUUUUCAUAUUUUCCCAGACAUAUUUUGCCUUCCAUAUUUUGCCAGAGGAGGAUCAUUUGUUGUGGAUAGAAUGGUAGUCGUAACCUAAAAUUUUCAAUGUUGUGUUUGACUUUCAAGAAUUAGCAAAUUCUUUUUCUUAUGAAAUGUUCCUAAGUUUCUGCAUAUUUUCAUGCAAUGUGUGUUUUGAGGCAUGCUACUUACGUAGCAUAUGUAAAUAAAAACUUGUGCAUUUUUGUUAAUGUUCAUGUGUAAGGUUAUUUAAUGUUUUCUUCUAUUUUAUCCAGGAGAUGCAUAUACGAUUAACUACGUGGAGUGUUCCAUAUCUCCUCUCAAACAGAUCAAAGAGAGGAUUGAUUUAGGUACAAGUGGCCCAGAGGGAAGAAACAGCUGAGGUGUAGUAUCUCUUUGAAGAAAUAUCACAGACAACAGAAUUAACAUGGGCAACAAGACACAAUUUUUCACUUGUAUCAUUAACAUUGCAGAUAAAAAUAACUAUGCAAUUUUGAUUUUCAGUUCUCAGUCUGAAUUGUUACUGCAGUAUGGAUGGUAUAAAGAAGAUAAAUCAGGUGACCUUGUUCUUUGUCGUAUAAUGGUCAAAAACACACUAUUUAAGCAAAUAAAUACUCAAGUUAAUUGCAUUUUGAAAUUAAUUGUAUCAUGUAAGCUAAAGAGAGAUUGGUAUAAAGCAGACAUAUUAAUUUUGAGAUUCUCUUAAGUCACAUUUGUUUAGCAGACAGGUUUUUUUCACACAGGAUGUGUCCAUUUGCUGCACUAUCUCAAACAAAGAACAACAUCUGAAUUUUUUAGAAGGAAAUAUAAACUCAAUAGGGAACAUUUAUUCCUUUACAAAGUGAUUUGGUUGACUCAUGCCCUGAAGAAUGACGGCUUGUAUUAGAUAACAGUAAUUAGUUAUAGCAAGUCAUUGUCUUUUAAAAAGAAAUAUCAUUUCUUGCAAGACAGAAACAUCCAAUAAAUAACCAGUCUGAGAGAGGACCUUAAAACAAAUCAAGGUCAGAUCAUGUUAUACAUUUAGAAAACUUAGUUUAUGGAAUACAAGUAAAAGAUUCUAUUUUUUUAUCUUAAAUGAAAAUGUGUAUCAGACAGUAAUGUAGUUCUUGACACAUAAAACUUGGCCCCCACAUCAGGAAUGUAUGUCACAGACAGAUUGGAUGUUCCAUUGUACUGCCACUCCCAUUCCACUGGUUGCAGCAUUCAAUUUUUAUGUUCAAAUGUCAUUAUGAAACAGCUAUUUGUUUUGAGAAAUUACUAAUGAUGGGCGUAUUUUGCUCUCAGUUUUCUAACAGAAACACCGGAGAGUGGGAAUGGCAGCAGGAUAGGAGAUUGUUACAACUGGAGUAAUCCUUACUUGCAAAUUUCUUCUGCCUUUUGAUCUGCCAGCAAGUCCCUCUUCACAGCAGAUGUGAUUUCCAAUAUGUUAACAGCAAUAGAGAUCUCUGCAGAAGUUGAAAAUGAGCAGUACUGACACUCUAAUCUGUGAAGUGGAAGAGAGAUGUCUUGGAAAUUUGGGGCCCAAAAGAAACAGUCUGUUAGGGCCAUGGAGAAGAUUGCCUAGGACAUCCGAAGGCAUUAUUUUAUGCCAGUCAUCUGCAAGGAAUGCAAUCCAAAGCGGUGUGAGAACUGAUCAGUGCUGCACUUGGCAUGAACAUAAGGGCACAUCUGUAUACCUCAAAAUUUAGAAAACUGUGGAGAAAAACAGUGAAGGAAACACCAGCAUUUGUAGUUGUUGCUGAGCAGAGCUGUACAGAGCCAAGAACAUACAGUUUUCCCUGCAAUCUUGCCAGUGAGGAAUAGACCAAAGAUGCUGGGAGUGGGGGACUGAGCCAACAACCACAUAGAGCUAAACUACCUGUCAACUUAAACCAAAGCACUUCAGAGAAACAAAACCAGCAGCUCCGAUGAUCAGAACCAAGCAACCCUGGAAUGUGCAAGAAGGUUCAAAGGAAGGAAAUUAAUGGUGGAAAGGCAGUACUCCUGGGAUGGAGGUAGCUGGAAACUACAGAAGAAUCUGUGCUGAACACAGGUCCGUGGAGGUUAUCUGCAAAAUUAGCAUGCAAACUGGAGCAGCAGUGAGAUGUGGUGUUGGAUUUGUUAUUACUUUCUUUGGGAGAAGGCAUAGAGAAGCUACACUCUCAAUAGCAGGAAUGCAAUCCAAAGCGGUGUGAGAACUGAUCAGUGCUGCACUUGGCAUGAACAUAAGGGCACAUCUGUAUACCUCAAAAUUUAGAAAACUGUGGUGAGUAGAUGGUCUUCAGAUCUCUGGAGCAACACUUUCUCAUCCAGAAACAGUCCCACUCCUCAGUUCCAUUUCAGCUGUAUGGGCUGGUGGCAAUCACUGCUUAAUUGGAAGGUCACUGUGCCACCAGCCUGUUCUUUGCCAUGGCAAAGAGGCAAAGACCCAACCCGCUAAUGAAAAUGAGGCAGACUGGCCUAUACUUGAAGGGAGAAGGUGCUGAGCCAAACAUCUUCAAUUUCUGAAGAGACAAAGUAUACCUUUGCCAAGCUGUUCUCUAGGGAAAGCAAUCCACUUGGUAUUUCUGGGGAAAACUGCAGUUGCUAAGGCCUAUUUCAACAGUGACAACAGUUGAAAUUUAGUAGCACUAUUUCACUUAGCACUCUUUCGGUGCCUCCUGGCAGUCCAUAUUAAUGAACAGUGUGUCAAAACACACAGGAGCAGUAGUAGUUAUCAGUAUCUUUGCACUAUCUAGACACAACAUAAUCAGCUUCAGUACUUUGUGUUUGCUUUUUGUUGGAUGGUUAUUUCUAUUUUUUUAAUUAGUGAUGGAAUAGAAUUUCCCUAGUAAUAAAGAGUUAACUCCUACAUUGCAAUAUGUGUUACUUGCACUGAAGAAUUUUUUAAUCUGGACACUGGAAAAGGCACAAUAGUGUCUGAUAAGUAUACUGAUUAGCUGAUACACUGAUCCCAAAACUCUGAGAUGAAAUAUGUAGCACUGUGUUAUGAGUACAGUAAACCUAGCAGCAAAGACCUUCUUCAUUUUCUCAGACUGACU